Molecule: long non-coding RNA, 6852 nt
Organism: Anolis carolinensis (green anole)
Lineage: Eukaryota; Metazoa; Chordata; Lepidosauria; Squamata; Anolidae
Exons: 2
Source: RefSeq, a predicted model, not a curated record
GCCCAGUUCAAAGCAUUAUGUUCAUUUGUGGAUCUUGCUUUCAUUGCAAGAGGUUCAUUCUGUAAAGACCAGUACAUAGCAUUUUGUUCACUGUGGAUCCUGCUUUCAUUGUAAGUGGUUUAUUCUGUAAAGCUUAGUGCAUGGCAUUCUGUUCAUUGUGGACCCUUUCAUUGCAAAUGGUUCAUUCUGUAAAGCCCAGUGCGUGGCAUUAUGAUCCUUAUGGAUCCCCCUUUCAUUGCAAGGGGUUCAUUCAAUAAAGCCCAGUACUUACCAUUGUGCUAAUUGUGGACCCUAGGAUUGUGCUCAUUGUGGACCCUUAUUUCAUUGCAAGUGGUUAAUUCUAUAAAGCCCAGUACAUGGCAUUGUGACCAUUAGGGACCCUUUCAUUGCAAGUGGUUGCUUCUGUAAAGCCCAGCUCAAAGCAUUAUGUAGAUAGAUGUCACGAGUGACAACCUUUGUGUGUUUGAGAAAUAAGAAUAAGAUUCAUAGAUAGAUAGAUAGAUGGAUGUCACGAGUGACAACUUUUGUGUUUGAUAAAUAAGAAUAAGAUUCAUAGAUAGAUAGAUAGAUAGAUGUCACGAGUGACAAACUUUGUGUGUUUGAUAAAUAAGAAUAAGAUUCAUAGAUAGAUAGAUAGAUGUCACAAGUGACAACCUUUGUGUGUUUGAGAAAUAAGAAUAAGAUUCAUAGAUAGAUAGAUAGAUAGUCACAAGUGACAACUCUUGUGUGUUUGAGAAAUAAGAAUUAGAUAGAUAGAUGUCACGAGUGACAACCUUUGUGUGUUUGAGAAAUAAGAAUAAGAAUCAUAGAUAGAUAGAUAGACAGACAGACAGAUAGAUAGAUGUCACAAGUGACAACUCUUGUGUGUUUGAGAAAUAAGAAUUAGAUAGAUAGAUGUCACAAGUGACAACUUUUGUGUGUUUGAGAAAUAAUAAUAAGAUUCAUAGAUAGAUAGAUAGACAGACAGACAGACAGACAGAUAGAUAGAUGUCACAAGUGACAACUCUUGUGUGUUUGAGAAAUAAGAAUUAGAUAGGUAGAUGUCACGAGUGACAACCUUUGUGUGUUUGAGAAAUAAGAAUAAGAUUCAUAGAUAGAUAGAUAGAUAGACAGACAGAUAGAUAGAUAGAUAGAUGUUACAAGUGACAACUCUUGUGUGUUUGAGAAUUAAGAAUAAGAUAGAUAGAUGUCACGAGUGACAACUUUUGUGUGUUUGAGAAAUAAGAAUAAGAUUAAUAGAUAGAUAGAUAGAUGUCAUGAGUGACAACCUUUGUGUGUUUGAGAAAUAAGAAUAAGAUUCAUAGAUAGAUAGAUAGUCACAAGUGACAACUCUUGUGUGUUUGAGAAAUAAGAAUUAGAUAGAUAGAUGUCACGAGUGACAACCUUUGUGUGUUUGAGAAAUAAGAAUAAGAAUCAUAGAUAGAUAGAUAGAUAGAUAGACAGACAGACAGAUAGAUAGAUGUCACAAGUGACAACUCUUGUGUGUUUGAGAAAUAAGAAUUAGAUAGAUAGAUGUCACAAGUGACAACUUUUGUGUGUUUGAGAAAUAAGAAUAAGAUUCAUAGAUAGAUAGAUAGAUAGAUAGACAGAUAGAUAGAUAGAUAGAUAGAUAGAUAGAUAGAUAGAUAGAUAGAUGUUACAAGUGACAACUCUUGUGUGUUUGAGAAUUAAGAAUAAGAUAGAUAGAUGUCAUGAGUGACAACUUUUGUGUGUUUGAGAAAUAAGAAUAAGAUUAAUAGAUAGAUAGAUAGAUAGAUAGAUAGAUAGAUAGAUAGAUAGAUAGAUAGAUGUCAUGAGUGACAACCUUUGUGUGUUUGAGAAAUAAGAAUAAGAUUCAUAGACAGACAGACAGACAGAUAGAUAGAUGUCACAAGUCACAACUUUUGUGUGUUUGAGAAAUAAGAAUAAGUUAGAUAGAUGUCCUGAGUGACAACUUUUGUGUGUUUGAGAAAUAAGUAUAAGUUAGAUAGAUGUCACGAGUGACAACUUUUGUGUGUUCGACAAAAUGGUACGCAAAAAUGUCAAAAUCCUUCAGCAGCAGGAAUAAUUAUUUAUUUCUCUUACAAAAUCAAAACAGUUUAUACAAUAGGUUAACUAAACAAAGGUACAGAAACGGAAAAUCAACCGUAUAAAUGAUGCAACUCCCAACCAAUCACCCUGUAUUAACAUUUUUAGACAUGGGAGAAGAAGUCAAUCUAGGUUAAUUCUAGAUGUGUAGACAAGGCCUAGAAAUCUGGGAAACCAAGAGUUCAAGCUUAGUCAUCAACUCCCAAAAAUAUGAGCAAUACAUUUCUUUAAAAACACAUACAACUGACCUCUUCCCAUACAAUAUACACACAUGACAAAGGAUCUGAUAGAAUAAAUAGCAUUAAAUAAAAGGUGUCUGGUCCCCAACCAAUCCUGGGAGCCAAAGUGUACUGAUUCGCCUCCAAAAUUUUGGAGGGAAAGACAAAUUUGGCUCCCCGUGACAUCGGAAAAGGGGAGCGAAUGUGCAAAAAUACAGCUAAAACGUGAGCGGAUUUGGAGACUCGAAGCCGGGUCGUGGUCUCGUGUCUCGUUGGUUCUCGUGCGCAAACACCGCCCCGAAUAUGUCCUCGUGGUAUCGCUUUUGUCUCUGUAAACAAAAUGAUACAAAGGGAAUUGACCAUUCGUAAUAGCAUUUGUAUUGUUCUCGUAUCAUUUCUUAAUACAGUCGGACCCCAUGAAAAGAAUGAGGUUGGUAGAUACCAUAACUUUGUGACUCAUGGGUUGCCUAAAGACUCAUUAGUCAACCUAGCUGACUUCUCUAGGUAGAAUGAGGUUGGUAGACACCAUAACUUUGUGACCCAUGGGUUGCCUAAAGACUCAUUAGUCAACCUAGCUGACUUCUCUAGGUAGAAUGAGGUUGGUAGACACCAUAACUUUGUGACCCAUGGGUUGCCUAAGGACUCAUUAGUCAACCUAGCUGACUUCUCUAGGUAGAAUGAGGUUGGUAGACACCAUAACUUUGUAACCCAUGGGUUGCCUAAGGACUCAUUAGUCAACCUAGCUGACUUCUCUAGGUAGAAUGAGGUUGGUAGACACCAUAACUUUGUGACCCAUGGGUUGCCUAAAGACUCAUUAGUCAACCUAGCUGACUUCUCUAGGCAGAAUGAGGUUGGUAGACACCAUAACUUUGUAACCCAUGGGUUGCCUAAAGACUCAUUAGUCAACCUAGCUGACUUCUCUAGGUAGAAUGAGGUUGGUAGACACCAUAACUUUGUAACCCAUGGGUUGCCUAAAGACUCAUUAGUCAACCUGGCUGACUUCUCUAGGUAGAAUGAGGUUGGUAGACACCAUAACUUUGUGACCCAUGGGUUGCCUAAAGACUCAUUAGUCAACCUAGCUGACUUCUCUAGGUAGAAUGAGGUUGGUAGACACCAUAACUUUGUGACCCAUGGGUUGCCUAAAGACUCAUUAGUCAACCUAGCUGACUUCUCUAGGUAGAAUGAGGUUGGUAGACACCAUAACUUUGUAACCCAUGGGUUGCCUAAAGACUCAUUAGUCAACCUAGCUGACCUCUAGGUAGAAUGAGGUUGGUAGACACCAUAACUUUGUGACCCAUGGGUUGCCUAAAGACUCAUUAGUCAACCUAGCUGAUUUCUCUAGGUAGAAUGAGGUUGGUAGACACCAUAACUUUGUGACCCAUGGGUUGCCUAAAGACUCAUUAGUCAGCCUAGCUGACUUCUCUAGGUAGAAUGAGGUUGGUAGACACCAUAACUUUGUUGUCUGGUCCCAAGAGGAUCUUCACCUUUACAUUGUGACCCAUGAUUUGUACAAACCAACGUAAUAUCACAAUAUUAUGGUACCCACUUCAUUUUAGGGUUAGGGUCCACAUUCUACUUUUCCACCUGCCUACCUUCAGCUGGAAGCAGUAGUCCUCCGCUUGCUCUUCCGUUAAGCCCAGCUGCUUAGCAAACAUCUCCUUCAUGGUUUUGGCCACGGCCCUGGCCAUGCGGACGUCCCCACAGACGUACAGGUGACCUUCCUCCUCAUGUAGGAGUUGGCACACUUUGGAUGCCAGAGCCUUCUGAAGAAGAUCUUGCACAUAGACCUGUGGACGGGAAACUCAACAGUUAGCUCACUGCACUUAUUAGAAUUCUAUAUGAAUCACAACAAAGAAAUAUAAUAAUUUUUUAUUAGACCAUAUACUUAUAGGUUGUCAUGUAUCUCAAUAACCUUGAGUCUUUCAUCUCUGAGCAUAGAUCAUCCUUGCUGCUGUUGUCAUGUAUCUCAAUAACUUUGAGUCUUUCGUCUUUGAGCAUAGAUCAUUCUUGCUACAGUUGUCAUGUAUCGCAAAAAUCCCCAUUUUCUAUCAGAUAAAGUUCAGGUGUUAUUUAACUCUAAGCCUCUCACGUUUUCUAAUUGGAUCUGAGCCCUUCCACUUAUGGUUCCCCAAAUCUGUCCUUCUUUCCAACUAUGCAAUGGAGCCUUACUUUGGGACGGCCUGGCUCUCUGGAGUAGGCAGUGUGGAUCCCUUGGAAGAUGCCUUUCCGGAGCAUCUCCUCCAUGUCGUCUUUGUAGAGGUGGUCCAGGUUGGCGUGCCGGCAGCCAAACAGGAGCAUCAUCCCUCUCCCUCGGAUGCCUACAAACCGGAGGAACCAAGUCAGUUGGCUUGCUAAGCCAAUCAAAGACCUGGGCCAAGCUUGGCACAUAGAACCCCCAUGACCCACUCAACCUACUGGAAGGGUUUGAGGGGACUGACUCACCAGAGUGGGUGUUGUAGUUCACCCACAACCAGAGGAACGGUGACCUCCACUGGUGAUGGACCUGGACCAAACUUGGCACCCAGAACCCCCAUGACCCACUCAACCUACUGGAAGGGUUUGAGGGGACUGACUCACUAGAGUGGGUGUUGUAGUUCACCCACAACCAGAGGAACGAUGACCUCCACCGGUGAUGGACCUGGACCAAGCUUGGCACACAGAACCCCCAUGACUCACUCAACCUACUGGAAGGGUUUGAGGGGACUGACUCACCAGUGUGGGUGUUGUAGUUCACCCACAACCAGAGGAACAGUGACCUCCACCGGUGAUGGACCUGGACCAAACUUGGCACCCAGGACCCCCAUGACCCACUCAACCUACUGGAAGGGUUUGAGGGGACUGACUCACUAGAAUGGGUGUUGUAGUUCACCCACAACCAGAGGAACGGUGACCUCCACCGGUGAUGGACCUGGACCAAACUUGGCACACAGAACCCCCAUGACCCACUCAACCUACUGGAAGGGUUUGAGGGGACUGACUCACCAGAGUGGGUGUUGUAGUUCACCCACAACCAGAGGAACGGUGACCUCCACCGGUGAUGGACCUGGACCAAACUUGGCACCCAGAACCCCCAUGAUCCACUCAACCUACUGGAAGGGUUUGAGGGGACUGACUCACCAGUGUGGGUGUUGUAGUUCACCCACAACCAGAGGAACGGUGACCUCCACCGGUGAUGGACCUGGACCAAGCUUGGCACACAGAACCCCCAUGACCCACUCAUCCUACUGGAAGGGUUUGAGGGGACUGACUCACCAGAAUGGGUGUUGUAGUUCACCCACAACCAGAGGAACGGUGACCUCCACCGGUGAUGGACCUGGACCAAGCUUGGCACACAGAACCCCCAUGACCCACUCAUCCUACUGGAAGGGUUUGAGGGGACUGACUCACCAGAAUGGGUGUUGUAGUUCACCCACAACCAGAGGAACGGUGACCUCCCCCGGUGAUGGACCUGGACCAAACUUGGCACCCAGAACCCCCAUGACCCACUCAACCUACUGGAAGGGUUUGAGGGGACUGACUCACCAGAGUGGGUGUUGUAGUUCACCCACAACCAGAGGAACGGUGACCUCCACCGGUGAUGGACCUGAACCAAACUUGGCACAUAGAACCCCCAUGACCCACUCAACCUAGUUUACUCUAUAACCAGAGAGCACACCGAACCCCACCGAUGAUGCAUCCAGAGCAAAUUUUAAACAUACCUUUGAUUUCCAGGUCAUAGAGACGUUGUUGCCAGAAGCUUCUGAACGGAGCGAUCCCUGUCCCUGGGCCAAUCAAAAUGCAUGGUUUUUGGAAAUCUUUGGGAAGUCGAAAUCCAUCGGCACUAAAUAACGCAGCAGAAGGGAGAUAAAGUUGUGUUAUUCCAAGAGCGAGCAGCCUUCAUGCUACCCUGUUUCCCCUAAAAUAAGACAUCCCCAGAAAAUAAGACCUAGUAGAGGUUUUGCUGAAUUCCUAAAAAUAAGGCCUUCCCCGAAAGUAAGACCUAGCAAAAGUUUUGUUUGGAAGCAUGCCCGUCGAACAGAACACCAGACCAUGCAGGAUUGGUAAAUGUACAUAUCAUAGAGUGUUGUACAUGGAAAUAAUGGUAGUAACAAGAAAUUCUUGAUAGGAUUCACAGUUUGUCUGGUUAUGCUGGUUUAUUUUUGUUCAAUAAUAAAUGUGAAUUCUUCGUCAUGGAAAAAUAAGACAUCCCCUGAAAAUAAGACCUAGUGCAUCUUUGGGAGCAAAAAUUAAUAUAAGACACUGUCUUAUUUUUGGGGAAACACGGUAUCCACCUGCAUUGAUCAAUAUCAAUAGACCGUUCUAGCAAUUAUCAUCUCCCCAAGGAACCGUCGUUUUGUAAAGCUAAGGGAACUUAAUUGCCCAACCAAGACAUCCAUGUUUUUAUUAGUUCUUGUCAUUUGUUUUUAAUGGUUAAUGUUUAAAUUUUUAUAAUUGUGCAUAUCUUUUAUCUGUUGUUGUGUUUUAUAUUGCUAUUGUUUUUAUUCGGGCUUGGCCCCAUGUAAGCCGCCCUGAGUCCCCUUUGGGGAGAUAGAGGUGAGAUAUAAAAAUAAAGUUGUUAUUAUUAUUA